CCUACGGGAGGCAGCAGUGGGGAAUAUUGGGCAAUGGGCGCAAGCCUGACCCAGCAACGCCGCGUGAAGGAAGAAGGCUCUCGGGUUGUAAACUUCUUUUAUCAGGGACGAAGCAAGUGACGGUACCUGAUGAAUAAGCCACGGCUAACUACGUUCCAGCAGCCGCGGUAAUACGUAGGUGGCAAGCGUUAUCCGGAUUUACUGGGUGUAAAGGGCGUGUAGGCGGGAAAGCAAGUCAGAUGUGAAAACCCUGGGCUCAACCUGUGGCCUGCAUUUGAAACGGUUUUUCUUGAGUACUGGAGAGGCAGACGGAAUUCCUAGUGUAGCGGUGAAAUGCGUAGAUAUUAGGAGGAACACCAGUGGCGAAGGCGGUCUGCUGGACAGCAACUGACGCUGAGGCGCGAAAGCGUGGGGAGCAAACAGGAUUAGAUACCCCAGUAGUC
Molecule: ribosomal RNA, 443 nt
Filed under: uncultured bacterium
Lineage: Bacteria
Description: partial 16S ribosomal RNA
Rfam family: Bacterial small subunit ribosomal RNA
Source: RNAcentral